This is a non-coding RNA of Triticum aestivum (bread wheat), 136 nucleotides long. The record is from Rfam. NCBI's taxonomy places the organism in Eukaryota, Viridiplantae, Streptophyta, Magnoliopsida, Poales, Poaceae.
UGUGUACUCCCUCCGUUCCAAAAUACUUGACUUCCAUUUGUCCAAAAAUGGAUGUACCUAUAUACUAAAACAUGUCUAGAUACAUAUAUAUUUUGACAAAUAGAAGGCAUGUAUUGUGCGACGGAGGGAGUAGAAU